Molecule: ribosomal RNA, 444 nt
Filed under: uncultured bacterium
Lineage: Bacteria
Description: partial 16S ribosomal RNA
Rfam family: Bacterial small subunit ribosomal RNA
Source: RNAcentral
CCUACGGGUGGCUGCAGUGGGGAAUAUUGGGCAAUGGAGGCAACUCUGACCCAGCAACGCCGCGUGAAUGAUGAAGGUCUUCGGAUUGUAAAGUUCUGUGAUGGGGGAUGAACACAAUGACGGUACCCCAAUAGCAAGCCACGGCUAACUACGUGCCAGCAGCCGCGGUAAUACGUAGGGGGCAAGCGUUAUCCGGAAUGACUGGGCGUAAAGGGUGUGUAGGUGGUUUGAUAAGUUAGAUGUGUAAUACCCAGGGCUUAACUCGGGUGCUGCAUCUAAAACUGUUAGACUUGAGUACUGGAGAGGAUAGUGGAAUUCGUAGUGUAGCGGUGGAAUGCGUAGAUAUUAGGAGGAACAUCAGUGGCGAAGGCGACUAUCUGGACAGUAACUGACACUGAGGCACGAAAGCGUGGGGAGCAAACAGGAUUAGAUACCCUAGUAGUC